AUCACGUAGCAUGCCAGACGGACCCACCAAAGAUGCGCACACAUGGAACGCAGCUUUCUAUGAAAACACUGCGACCUCACUACAAAAGUACAGGCACACAGAAAACUGUGCUGCACUGAUGUCGGUGUUGGGACCUCAGCUGUAAGAGACCUUGCUUGGAGGAGGGAGAGGACAAGAUGUGACAAUGGAAUCUUCCAACCCUGUUCAUAAGACACCCACAUAUAUUGUCUAUGAAAACUGCCUCCUGGAGCUGUUUGAGGUGUGUCCUGUGUGUCGGCUGGGGACAGAUGUAAUAUAUAAGAAGGGC
This is a long non-coding RNA of Platichthys flesus (European flounder), 307 nucleotides long. RefSeq lists it as uncharacterized. The transcript is spliced from 3 exons. NCBI's taxonomy places the organism in Eukaryota, Metazoa, Chordata, Actinopteri, Pleuronectiformes, Pleuronectidae. The record is from RefSeq and is a predicted model, not a curated record.